This 76-nucleotide non-coding RNA is filed under the name Psychrobacter sp. The record is from RNAcentral. Lineage: Bacteria; Pseudomonadati; Pseudomonadota; Gammaproteobacteria; Moraxellales; Moraxellaceae.
AGCCGAAACGCUGGCCGAUCUCGAUCGGCAAGCGUCGCGGCGGGUGGUUCCCGCCGCCUGAUGAUGGCAGCCCAAC